GACGAACGCUGGCGGCGUGCCUAACACAUGCAAGUCGAACGGGGAUUAAUAAUGAAAUGUUUUCGGAUGUGGAGUUAUUGAUUCUAGUGGCGGACGGGUGAGUAACGCGUGAGUAAUCUGGCCUAAAGAGGGGGAUAACAUUGGGAAACCAAUGCUAAUACCGCAUAAGACCACAAUGCCACAUGGCAAAGGGGUCAAAGAUUUAUCGCUUUAGGAUGAGCUCGCGUCCCAUUAGCUAGAUGGCAGGGUAAAAGCCUACCAUGGCGACGAUGGGUAGCCGGACUGAGAGGUCGAACGGCCACACUGGGACUGAGACACGGCCCAGACUCCUACGGGAGGCAGCAGUGGGGAAUAUUGGGCAAUGGGGGAAACCCUGACCCAGCAACGCCGCGUGAGAGAAGAAGGUUUUCGGAUUGUAAAUCUCUGUCCUCAGGGACGAAAAAAAUGACGGUACCUGAGGAGGAAGCCCCGGCUAACUACGUGCCAGCAGCCGCAGUAAGAC
This 502-nucleotide ribosomal RNA is filed under the name uncultured bacterium. RNAcentral's name for it is "bacterial SSU rRNA". It matches the Rfam family "Bacterial small subunit ribosomal RNA", at positions 28 to 526 of the family's 1533-position model. The record is from RNAcentral.